RNAcentral lists this ribosomal RNA (414 nucleotides) under Triticum aestivum (bread wheat). Its description in RNAcentral is "partial small subunit ribosomal RNA". The record is from RNAcentral. Lineage: Eukaryota; Viridiplantae; Streptophyta; Magnoliopsida; Poales; Poaceae.
AUGGCUGCAGGUGGGGCUUCUCUUCUUGCUGCUGUUGUUUUCUCCAUGCUGGUCAUGUCUUCCCUGGGGCGUCCGAGGCCUUUAUGCAGUGACUGUGACACACAAUGUCGUGCCAACUGCACUGCAGAGGUUAAAACCUCCUGCAGCAGUUACUGCAGCGGCGGUGGCGGCGGCCCUCGGGAGGGCUGCCGUAGAAAUAUCUUGCAGCAGUGCACUGCAAAUGGUAUCUGCUGCAGUAGCAACGGCACCUGCACUUGUGACUGCAACACUGUAGCUGAAAGUGGUUGCAAGGGGGUCACCGACGCCACCCAACUUUGCGACCCUUGCAUGCGCGGCAUCUUCGACCAGUGCUUUCCCACCUGUAACAAGGACUGCAACAACAACUGCAAGAAGAAAGGGUGCCACCAUGCCUAG